UGGAAGGAGACCCUCAUUGUUACACAAAAUUACAUAUAAGAGGUUGUGAGGGGAAUGGGGAAAAAACAAGGAGGGAAAUGAAUUGUAGUAGAUGGGGUAGAGAGAGAAGAUGGGAGGGGAGGGGAGGGGGGAUAAUAGAGGAUAGGAAAGGUAGCAGAAUACAGCAGUCACUAAUAUGGCAUCAUGUAAAAAUGUGGACGUGUAACCUGUGUGAUUCUGCAAUCUGUAUUUGGGGAAAAAAUAGGAGUUCAUAACCCACUUGAAUCUAAUGUAUGAAAUAUGAUAUGUCAAGAGCUUUGUAAUGUUUUGAACAACCAAUAAAAAAAUAAAGAAAACUACAAACAAACAAAAAAAAAAAAAAAGAAUAUUCCACCCAAAUAAGGCAAGGGCUCAGGUUUCAGAGGGUGAAGUCUUGAUUGGUGAUGUGUUGGUCAGCAGUUUGACAUCUUGGAAAACCACACCCAUCUCAGGUUCUGUGUGGCACCUGAGAGAGAGAGUGAAAAGACACACAUACAUUGCAGAGCCCAAUGAAGCAGCAAUUUCAGACCAGUUUUCCUCAUAUACUCCAAUGUGCAUAGCUCACACACACAGCCCAUGGAUGGCUGGUGACAUCCUACGAAUUAAUUUACUAUUCUAAAAGCCAAAAUUCUGGGUUUCAUUUGGUCUGAGGCUCUCUACAGUGCCACUCCAGUUUUUUGUUUGUUUGUUUGUUUGUUUGUUUGUUUUCACAGCUGCUCUUUUUCAACCAGAAAGCACACAUGACCCAAUAUGACUGAAGCUCUGAAAAAUGGCCAGGAAGUUCUGUACAUUUUUGUGCUGUCAUCUUUCUUCAUUGGUGUACUUUUUAGUUCUCACUCAGAAGAACAUGUUGUUUACCCAGAUUCUGUGUGCCGCUUUCUAACAGCAUGAUAGAAAUAUUUCUUCACCUUACUUUGUAAUUUUAUUAAACUGGAUUUCCUCUCAGUGAAACAAUUACUAAAAGCUCUUUAGAUCCUGUGAGACUAUGAUGACCAAAUGAGGCAAGUCCAACAAGGUUUUGUUCCUGUACAACAUCAUAUAAUCCAACUCUCUUAUCACACCAAGACUCAUAUUUUAAUACUAAAGAAUUCUAUGAGUCUAUUUUUUUAAAACAUGUAAUGAAACAUAAUAUUAAUUAUAUUUCUCAAAAAUGUUUAAUUAAGUAUUUAAUGCAUUCUCAUCAUGUGGGGUUGUGAUGUGUGGUUGGUUACACUCUUAGAGUACAGGAAUUUUUGUUAUUGUAUUGUCAGGGAAUGCCUUUUCUAUGAUAUCUGUCCUGCUUUAACCAAAUUAGGAGCCAUUGGAAGAUAAGAGUUCAGUUUCUUCUGGAGCACAAAUGCUAGGUUGCCCUAUGGAAAUUAUAACUGUUCAGUCUGUAGCCAUCUACAUUUUAGUUUGCUACUUUCAAUACCAAAAUUUGGGUGAUGUCUAAAACAGUGAUAAUAAAUUCUUCAUGCAGCUCAUUGGGGUCCUUUAUUUGCCAGGUAUUUUCUGAGGGUCAUCCACAGAUGUGCAUUUCUCACUCAUCUGGAAAGAAACUCAUAAACCAAAAGAGAAAGCAGAUGAACAUGUCCAUCAUAAGAACUACAAACUUUACACAGUUCUUUGGGCAGAAUAUUGAUUUCUAACAUGAGUGCUGAUAUAUUCUAAUAUUUGUAGAAAUGAACCUAGUAAACAGGGAAUAAUGAAAAAGCAAGAAAGAUAAGGAGUUGUCUAUCUUAAGACCAAAGUCUGGCAGCAGGUUAUAGUGGGAGUGUCCCUCUUUGUUACUAUACAAGACAUGCAUAGACCACAGGGGUGUUGGAAAACUUGAAUUUUUAUGUUGGAAAGAAUACUGUUCUUCACAUUCUACCUGAUUUCUAUUCAUUUCUCAGUGUAUUCUCAUUUUCUUCAGGGAAUCUUUUCUGUAGAUCAGAUUCCUCUAUUAGAUCACAAACCUCUUUUCUAAUAUCAUCUGUCUGAAAUUAUAAUGAUCUUUUUAUGUGUCUUCUCCAUUAGUCGUUAAGCUAAAGAACACAAGGGAUCUCAUCUCAUCUGCUAUAUGUGCAGAGUACAGCAUAUUGUGUCACAUGUUUUAUGCACUCAUUGGUUUAGUGUAUAAAUAAUGCAUGUGAAAUAUACAGCAUUCAUAUAUGUAAAUUAGUCACAUAUUUUACUUCUAUAUUCUUUUAUUUCUGACAGAUUCUGUUAGCCUGUUGAAAACCCAGAAAGCAGUUUCUUCACUUCAAAGAGUAAUAAAUCACCAAAAACGUCAUUGCACACAGUGUUUAACAAUGUUAAAAAAAAAAAAAAUCACAACUGGAAAAUGAGAUUUGUGAGCUUAAAAAGAGGGUAUCAGAGUUUAAGCAAGAAAUAUACAAUUGAAACAACAACUCCAUGAUUUGAGGUAUUAUAUCCUAGAUUGAAAGAAUAGAUGAAUCCUUUCCUUUAUUCUAGUAGAAAUAAGAAGGAGAUUUUUUUUAACAGCUGACUUAUCUGUUAGCACUUUGCAAGGGAGAAAACUUGAAUAAAUUAUAAAAUUCUUACAAAUAUGAUAGUAUAUUAUUAAAUGUGAUUACUUCUAAAAACUAAGUGAACAUUUUUCCCCAUCACAUUUUUAAUGGCUCUAUGGAACCCCAUCUGCUAGAAUUCUAUUUAUUUAAGCAACAGAAUUUUGGAUUGUUAUUUCUUUAUAUUUUUAAAUUUUAUUACAAUUAAUGUUUCAAGAAAUAUAAUUUAGAAAAAAAUCAUUUUCUACUCAGAUACCAUGGCAUCUACCUAUAAUUCCAGCAGCUUGGGAGACAGAGACAGAGGAUCAAAAGUUCAAAUCAAGCCUCAUCAACAUAGCAAACUAGUGAGAUGCUGUUUCCAAAUUUAAAAAAAAAGAAAAAGGCCUUGGGAUCUAGCUAAGUGAUUUAGCUUCUCUGGGUUCAAUCCCUGGUACCAAAGAUUGGGGUGAGAACAAAAGAAAAGAAAAAAAUAAUAAUUUUCUAUAUUUCUGUUAACUUUGAAAAAUUUUCAAUAUAGAGUUAUUUGGUUAAAGUUGGAAAACUUUAAAAAGAUUUCAGGAUUAUAAUGUUGCUCUCAAGAAGUUUGUAUUCCACCAAUGAGGCAUUUUUCACUGCCCUGAAACAUGCUUCUAUACAUUUACAGUUUUUAUUCUGAUGUUUAUGAUCAAAUCCAGGGUUUUAUGAGACUAAAGUGAUGUGUUAGUGCUGAGCUAGACCCUCAGCUACACUUUUAACAAUGACAUUCAUUAAAAAAUGAAAUGGAAACUGAUUAUAAAUUAUUUUAUUCAAAUUCACUCUCCUCAGAAAUUAAAUUUGUUCAGAUUUCUAUAUUGAAAGGACACAUACUUUUUUAUGUUUUUUAGGUAUACAUGACAGUAGACUAUAUGUUGAUAUAAAUUUAUUUUUGUUAUGGAUAAUAUACCAUUGUGUGUUUGUGUGUGUGUGUGGUGUACAUAUAUAUAAAUAUAUAACAUUUUCUUUAUCCAUUCAUCUGUUGAAGGACAUUAUUCUUCAUUAUUGGAUUAAAUACUAGGUCCUUUUUGUUCAAAAGUGAAUUUUAAUUUAUUUGUAAAAUAUAUAAUGAUCAAUGAGGAAAUUUGAAAGUGUUACCAUAAAAGAAACAUAAAAAGUGUAAUAAUAAGUAUUGGAUUUCUUAUCCCAGUUUGGGGUUAUAGUAAUACAAAAGAUACAUUUUUUAUAUCUUUAUUUUAUUUAUAUGUGAUGCUAAGGAUUAAACCCAGCACCUCACCCAUGCUAGGCAACCACUGCAUCGCUGAGCUACAGCCCCAGCCCCAAAAGAUACUUAUUGAAAGAAGAAUAUCUGAAUAUGCUAUUACACUGUAAGCAAGUUGUAGGUAUACCUGACAUAUUAUAUGAAGAUAAAUCAUAUUACUUCUGAAUUCAUAGGUUUGUACACAAACAAUAAGUCUUUAAAGCUUAUUUAGCUUGAAAUUAUCUUUUUAACUGGGGAGGAUCUAUGAUAGUGCAAAAAUAAUCACCUUUAACUUGUCAAUUUACCAAAUAAUUUCAAAAUUCCUUUUGUGUAGUAUCUACUUUCAAUUAUGUAUGUUUUAGACAAGACUAAAGGAGAAACUAAAAAUGUUAAACUGGAAAAUCUUCAGAGAACAUAGAAUUUUUAUUAGGAUACUAAAUCAGCAUACAAAGAUCCAGAAAAUAAAAAAGAAAUUUUUGUUUUCUGGCAAAACUCAAUUAAAUGUAACCAUAUUUAACUUCAGAUAUACCUUAAAAGAAGAGGCAAAGAGAAAAAAUGAUGAUAUGCUACAUGAAAAAAAUAAGAACCCAUUAAAAGAAACAGAAUAUAACAAAGAGGAUCAAGUGAGAAAGCAAGCUGAAAUCUCUGUACAAUAGAUACAGAAUUGGAGACUGCAAGAAAUCAUUUUAAUCAGGUAAAUGAACCUUCAGUAAAGUUUCAAGUUUUUACUUUAUUUCAUCUGCGUUAUUUAUAAGGUUACUUUAACUUACUGUAUGUGGCCAUGUUUCACUUAAUGAUGGCAAUAUGGUCUGAGGAAUGUGCUGUUUGGCAAUUUCACCAACAUGCAGUCAUCGUGUGUGUACAUCCACACACUUCAGACAUCUCCCACAAUGCCAGGAAAUACAGACUUACAGGACCUCCACUUCCAUGAAUUCUGCUGUUUCUCAAAUCUUUGGUAUGUGGGGUGUGAACUACUAUUUUGAUUUAAAACAUAAUAUUAUCUGACUCAAAAAUUAAAUUAUGACAUUUAUGACAAAACUAGUUACAGCAAAAUUAGCAUCUGGUAGAUGUUCAGCAUAUGUUUCCUAAAUGAAGAUGUUUAGUUUAAUAACUAACAUAAAUACCAAUUUAGGGGUUUUUAUGUUAAGAUACAGACUAAAUAGCUCUGCAACUAGUUAAAACAUUUUUUAAAAGUGUUUCACAAUUACAUUUCUGCCUGUAUUUAAGAAAUGUUUUCAUUCACCCAAAUUUAUCAGUCAUUUGUGCAGUUGAAAUAUAAGACACUGACUCAUAAACAAUAAAUCUACCUUUUAGUAUUAUUUUUUAAUCUUGAAGGUACCAUUCUACAAUUAAGCUUUUGGACUUCUAUCACCUGCUGAUAUACAGCCAAUAUCUUGCUGAAAUAAAUUUGUAGAUUUUAGCAGAACAAAAUGAAACCUAUAGACAAUUUCCAUGAGACCAGAAUUCCAGAAUUUAUAAUAUGAAAUUUCAGUAAUACAUAUUUACAAACAAAAAGGGUUAGACAUAUGCAGAAAGAAAAUGUUUCCUGAGAUAUUUUCUUCUGUUUUCAAAUGAGUGAGUGUGUGUGUGUGUGUGUGUGUGUGUAACAUACUUAAACAGUAACAAUUAAAUCAUGGAAAAGUAUAGAGGGAUUUAAAUCCAUAAAUUUAUAACUAGAAUGCACAUAUGUUAGAGGUGAGGGUGGCAUUUUUUGUCCCAUUGAAUUAAAUAAUGUUCUUAAUUCAACUCUUAUUUCUCUGCAGCAAUUCCAUGAUGACUUUCAGAGUAGCCUUAUAAAGAGAAAAGAAUUUUCAUAUUUUCCACAGGAAUAGAUGAGUUUUCUAUGAUCUCAAAACCCUUGCUUCUAAUAGUAGAUCUUCUAGUUUGGGGAAGUGACAUCACUCUCUUAUUGUGUUAAUAUGCAUUACUACUCCCACUGUUAAGUAAGGAGGAAAAGUGGGGCCAGUAAAUACCCUGGAUUUGUGUAUAAUUUUUCUCACUUUUGAGAAGAGAAAAAAAAAAAAAAACACUUUGCUCCAAGUAAUCUCCUACUUCAGCACAAAACACCUUUGGAAACAAUGGCAUACCAUAAUAUGUUCUUAGAAAUAAAUUACUGGUAAAUAUUUGUUCCUAAUAUAUAAGAUUCAUUUAUUUGCCUUAUUUCAUAUAGAUUCAUCUUUCAAAAUUCACUGAGAUGAAACAAAUGCUACUGUGUAGCAAUCUUGGGAUUUUCUGAGUAGAGCCUUACACAUUUUGCCUUAUUUGUCAUUUUUAUUUUGAAACACAGGGUUUCUUUGGCGUUUAUCCAUUCACAGGACAGAAAUAACUGACUUUGUGGAUUAGCAUUAGAAGCAGAGGCAAAAGACUUGGAGAAAUUGUGCAACUUGCCUAUGUUUUUAGCCUUAUGCUCCUUUUCAUAAUUGUGAUACACUGUUCAUUGAUGUACAUAAUGUGAUUAAUGCUGUUCCUACAUUUAUCAUUUAUCAAUAGAUGCAAUUUUUAUUCCCAGCUACAAAAUGUUAGAAAAGAAAAUAUGCUAGGAAUAUUUUUAGGAAAAGACCUUGGGGAACUUUUGUAUGUCUUGGUAGAUGUAGAGCUAAGGCUUUUACUAUGGGCUGGUUGAAUACAUAAAGUGUCAGAUGGUGAACUUAUUUUUCUUAAAUUUAAAUGUUCUUUUAUUUGCCACUGAAGCCAUCCCAACAGAUAGGUCCAUAAUAAAAUAUUUGAGAUUUUUAACUGUUUAACGUGUAGAUCAUAUGAUCCUAAAAGUGGAUCAAUGUGAGAAAUAGUGAAUUAUUAUUUUUAUUGACUUUUUUAAGGUAUACAUUACAGUAGAGCUGGUUUUUUAUAGUAUAUAACUUCUUCUAUUUAGGAUCCCAUUCCUGUGGUUGAGAAUGUUGCAGAAUUUUGCUGGUCAUGUAUUCAUAUGUGAACAUAGGGAUGUGAUGUCAGAUUCAUUGUACUGUCUUUCCCCUCCCUUCUCAGCCCUUUAUUCCCUUUUGUCUAAUCCAACAAACUUCUAUUCUUUCCUCCCCCACCCUUAGGUGUGUUAUCAUCCACAUAUUAAGGAGAAUAUUCAGACUUUGGAUUUGGAAAACUGGCUUAUUUCACUUGACAUGAUACUCUCCAGUUCCAUCGAUUUACCAACAAAUGUCAUAAUUUCAUUCUUCAUGGCUGAGUCCAUUGUUUAUAUAUGAAACAUUUUCUUUAUCCACUCAUAUGUUGAAAGGCACCUAGGUGGGUUCCACAGCUUAUCUUUUGUGAACAGCUGCUAUAAAUAUUUAUGUGGCUGUGUCACUAUAGUAUCAUUUGAGUAUAUACUGAGGAGCAGAAUAACUGGGUCAAAUGCUCAUUCCAUUCUAUACUGCUUUCCUGAGUGAUUGCUUGGUGCAAUGUAUGAGUGAGUCUUUUCCCCACAUUCUCACCAACAUUUAUUGUGACUUGCAUUCUUUAUAUUUAUCAUUUUAAGUAGUGCAUUUUUCUAAUUGCUAAAGAUGUUGAACAUUUUAUUUUCAUAUAUUUUUGAACUGUUUGCACAUCUUCUUCUUUGAAGUGCCUGCUCAGUUCUUUUGUUCAUUUAUUGAUUUGGUUAUUUGUUUGUUUGUUUUGUGUGUGGGAGGGUGUUUCUGUGUGUAUGAUAUAUUUUUGAGUUGUUUAUAUAUUCUGGAGAUUAAUGCUCUAUCUGAGGUGUCAAUAACAAAGAUUUUCUCCCACUCUGUAGGCUGUCUACUCACAUUCUUGAUGGUUCCCUUUGUUGUAAAGAUACCAUCUCAUUUAUUGAUUCUUUAUUGUACUUCUUGUGCCUUAAGAGUCUUUUUGAGGAAUUCAGAUCCUGCAUGAACAUGAUGGAGUGCUCGGCCUGUCUUGUCUUGUAAUAGGCCUAGGAUCUUUUUUUCUAAUGUCUAGGUCCUUGAUCCACUUUGUGUUGAGUUUUGCAUGGGGUUAGAAAUAGGGGUUAAAUUUCUCCUACUACAUAUGGGUUUUCUGUUUUCCCAGAACCAUUAGUUGAAGAACCUAUCCUUUUCCCAAUACAUGUUUUAUAGUGUGUUUGCCUAGUACUAGAUAACUGUAUAUAUGUGGGUUUUCUCUGUGACUUCUCUUCUGUUUCUGUAAUUUUUUUUUUACAUUGGAAAACUAACUAAUCACUUAAUCUAUUCUUUCAUUCUGGUGUAAUGAAGAUUUUUCAAUCCUUAAUACUUUUUUAUAAUCAGGAAUUGAAUGAGGGUGCUCAACAACUGAGAUGCAUUUCCAGCCAUUUAUUUAUUUAUUUAUUUAUGAAUGAUUCAGGGUAUCACUGAAUUGCUGAAGACUUGCUUUGAACCUGUGAUCCUCCUGCCUCAGUCUCCUGAGACACUGUAAUUACAGGCAUAUGCCUCUGGACCCGUCAGUUCUUACAUCCUUUAAGUUGUAACUUUCUUUUACUCUCAUAGAUCCAUUUUCUUGAAUUAACUUUUGAACUCUUGGGAAUUUAUAUUUCUAUAGGCUCAGAAGUUUACAUCUAACUUUUAUUCAGUGGGCUAUCUAUUUAUUGAAACCCUUUCAACAUAUAAAUGUGCAGGUUAUUCUUUAAUUUCAGUGAAAAAUAUGAAAUAACAUUUUAUUAAAUGCUAGCUAAAUGUUUCCUUGGUUUUAUUUAGGUUUCUACUAGUGAUGGGACAGAGAACAAUCUAUUGCAUCAAUAUUACAGGAAUAAGGAUGAAAUCUCCAUGAAGAGACGGGGAAUGGACACAAUAAAUUAUCAGAACCUGGAAAAUAAGUGCUUUGAGAAUCCUGAAAUUUUAACAGAAAAGAAGAGCAGUCUUCCAUGGACACAAGAAUUGAAUGAGGAAACCCUUAGGAAAAUAUUCCAGGACAAAAAACAGUUGGAUAUUUGGAAAUCUCAGAGUACACUGGAGAGUGGAAAUACCAGAAACAAAGUCAAAUCCCACCCUACCAGACCUGGUACUGAUCCACACCAUCAUGGUGAAAGUCCAACACCAAAAAGAAAUCUAGAACUUGCUUUUCAGAAAGCAAGAGAUAAAGACGUUAGUUCACAGGAAGAAAAUAAUACUAAUAUAUCUAUCCUAAAAGUUAUUUGUGGGAUUUCUUCCCAACAGGUUCCAAAGUCUGAAAAAAAAAUGACUUAGAAAACAAGCUGUGUCAGACAAGAGGUACUCUGAGAGUAAUGACUUUGGCUACAGAACAGGUAAACAGACACUUAAAACAAAGACAGCGCCAACUGAAGGUAAUGGAACAUGGGUAUCAAAAUGAACAAAGAAAAAGGGAUGAACGCCUCAGAAAGCAGGAAGCUUCUAGAGAGAAGUUACCUAAACUUCAAAGUGAAACUACAUUUUGUGAAGAGCAAUUGCAUGACUAUAAGAACAGAGGUGACAAUAAAAAGAUGGAGUUAUUAAUAUCCAAACCCAAAUUUAUUAUGUUAUUAAAAAAAAAAAACUUCAAGCUCGGAAUGACAGACAUCAUCUCAUGCUGGAAAACAAAUAUUUGGAAUUAAUCAAUAAAACCAAUCAUUUUAAAAAACAACCGGAUCAAUAUGGAAAGGAGAAAGCAGAAGAAGUAAGUAUCAAGCAAGUUAACUGUAUAAAGAGUCUUUGAAGGAAUACUCAGAGUGAUACCUGAUUAUGGCUAAAUGUUGAAUCUUGAUGAAUAUAAAAGCAUAGAUAUUAUAACUGUCUUUUCUAUAUCCAACAGUACAACCUGUUUUCCAGCAAAUAUAAUUUAGGCAUCAUUCACAGCACAACCAAUCUGUGUUUGAAGUGCUAAGUCUUCCAAUUUCCCUACUCUGAUUCUUACACACUGUGUACAUAUUUUAAAAUAUCUAUAGGUACUCAUAUACCAACUAAACACAAAAGACUUAGAUCAAAUGGAAUUUAAUAUUUAAAAAUGAGGAAAUUUUUGAAACUUGGUCCUGACAGAUCCCUCAAUUUAAGAAAUUAUGUUUCUUAUAAAGAUUUAAGAGAUUGAGUUACAGAUUUUUUGUAGAUGUAUAUGCUGACAUUAGUAAUAUGGUAUCAAUAAUGUUCAAACAAUAUUUAAUUUUGGUGCUGUUAAUUCAACCCAAAGUUUACACAUAUUCUACCAAUGAGCUACAUUCCAUCACUGAAUAACAAUUUUAAUGUGUUCUCGUUGCCGUACUUUAAGAUCACAAUGAAACAGAUAAUGGAAAUGCUCAUACCUAGUUUCAAUUAAAUUAGUUACUUUGACAGUUCAUUCCAGAUUUCCCAGUUGAACUGAAAUGUAGAUUCUGUAUUUUGUAAUAGACUUUCUUCGCUAUUUUUAGAUAUUUCUAAUUGGUAAAUUUAUUUUUAGUCAUUUCAACUCAACUUAAAUCUGAAAAUAACUGUCCUGAUAUUUUUUGUUUUCAUUCAUGACUUGUCCACCUCUUUAAAAGCAUCUAUAUGUCAUUGUUGUAAAUUGGGACUAGUGUGAUGAAUUGCAGCAAACGCAAAUUUUUUUCAUCUGUAAUUUAUUGCAUAUAUCCAUGAUAACUUGCUAAUCGUUUUCUUCAUUUCAUGGCCCAUUUCCUAUUCUGAAAGUUAUAUAGUUUCUUUAAGUACAAAGGUAAUUGUAGCCAUCUAAAUUUCAUUAAUUUGGCACUGAACCCCCAUGUCCAGACUAAUGAGGGUGCCAUGGCUUAUGUACAGCAGGAGUGGUGUGAGUACCAGUGAGACUUCUAAGAGAUAUGGACAGGCAGUGAGGUGGAAACUAGGUUACCUAGGGUCUUCUUUAUUCUUUGUGAAAAUAUAUUGGAAUUAUUGUAGCAAAUGUAUGUAUAUUGGAAUUAUUUUAGCAAAGUUUAAAGAUGUGAGGAUGUGGGGUAUUAAUUUGAGCUUCUAAUAAGAGAGGGAUAAUAACCUCUGUAGAAUUCACCACCACCAAUGAGACCUGUGUAACCAUUUCUGAUUGAGAAUUCAGUAGGUUGUUAAACAUUGCAACUUUAUCAAGGGCAGUAUGUAGAGAUACAGGGCUUGACCCUGUUAUCUAAGGAAUGUGAUAGUUUUUAGGCAGGAGUACACAACCUUCUGUUUCCCUAAGGGAAUUCAGAAAUAAACAGGAGUGUACACACAUAUAAAAAUAAGAGAAUAAACUGAUGUAUGUAGUGAUAUUUUUUUCAGAGUAAACAUAAUUAUAAAAUGUUAUUAAUAUACUUUUAAAGUGAGCUGAGUAACAAAAUCGUUAACAGAAAUAUCAGGUAGUUGUGAGACUGGUAACAUGAAAUUACCAUUUGUUUCAGAGUUUUCACUAAAAGAUUUACCACAUUUUCACAUAAAUUUAAAAGAUAAAGACAGGAUUUAAUGAAGACACUAAGACAAAUGACAAGUAUGUCUAAAAUUGAACAUGUCAACUGUAAAUCUACAUCUACUUAAGUAACAAAAAAUGUUCUGAGAUAGUAAUUUCAAUGAACAGCUUUCUUUAUAUUUUCAUUAUAAUUGAUUUUAUUAUAUAUGGGGAUCUUUAUACUGCAUUUAUUUCUUACACUUAAAAUUGUAUUUUGGAAUUUUUCUCUUACAAACUCAUGCAUCUCUUAUUAAAAUAUCUAGUCUGAGGAAAGCUGAGACUUUUUUCUAUAAACCAGAAGCUUUUAAUGCUAUCUCUACUUUCAUGUUACAAUAAGAAAAAUUAAAUCAGAGGUACUAUUUAAUAGAAUGUUUCAGAAAAUUUUGUUACUUUUACUUUAAUUUUUGUGCAUCUAUACAGAAUCUGCAGAUAUUGAUGAAUUAAUAUUUUUUUUAAAAAAAAUGUGUACAAAAAGGUUUUUAUGCAUUUCUCAAAAUACAGGUAUGUUUUAGGUUAUUGUUUAAUUAUUGAAAAACUUGGGCUGUUUCUUUUUGUUUUAUUUUAGAUACAUUAUGAAAGCAUAUAAAUAUUUGUAUUAUUUCUGGACUGAUAUCCAAACUAAUAAAUAAAAAAUGUUAGCUAAGUUUUUUUUUCAGUAGAUGUCUUAAAAGGCAUUUUUAUGAUAUAUGUAAUGCACAUCCAAUUCACCCAUUUAACAUGUAAAAUUCAGUGUCUCUUAGUUCAUUAACAGAGAUAUAUAACCAUUUAAAUAGUUAAUUUUUAGAACGUUUUCAUGUUUUGAAAAGAAACCUGGAACCUCUUAGCUGUCAGUUUUUUAGUCCCUACACUUUCAAAGUCCUAGAAAACCACCAAUAUAUUUUUUAGUUAUUUAUAAAUGUAAACAAUAGUAAUUUACUCAUUUAUUUAUUUUUAUUUUUACAUAUACAUGUCAGUACACUGUAUUUUCACAUUUAAAUGCAUGGAAUAUAACUUCACAUUAUUUUAUUUAUACAUAAUGUAGAGUUACACUGGUCACGUAGUCGUGUCAUAUUUAUUCUACUGUUUUUUCUGUUUUCAUUCUCACUCCCAUCCCUUUUGUCUAAUCCAAUGUAAUUCUAUUCUUUUCUCCCCCAUUCCUUACUGUGUGUUCGCAUCCACUUAUGAGAGAGAACUUCCAGCCUUUAGAUUUGGGGGAUUGGCUUAUUUCACUUAGCAUGUUAAUCUCCAUUUCUAUCCAUUUAUUGGCAAAUGCCAUAAUUUCAUUCUUUCUCACAGCUGAGUAAUAUUCCAUUGUGUGUAUAUGACACAUUUUAAAUAAUCUAUUCUUCUAUUGAAGGACACCUCCUUUGGUUUCAUAGCUCAACUAUUGUGAUUUGAGCUGCUACAGACAUUGUUGUGGCUGCAUCCCUGUAGUAUGAUGAUUUUAAGGAUUUUUUUGUGUAAACCAAGGAGUUAGAUUAGUGGGUCAAACGGUGGCUACAUUCCAAGAUUGCUGAGGACUCUCCAUACAGCUUUCCAGAGUGAUUGCCCCAAUUUGCAGUCCCACCAGGAAUGUGUAAGUGAACAUUUUCCCCACACUGCUGUGAACAUUUAUCAUUACUUGUAUUCUUCUAAAUUGCCAUUCUGACCCAAGUGAGAUGCAAUCUCAGUGUAGCAUUUAUGUUUCUCUAAUUGAUAGAGAUGUUCAAUUUUUUUUCAUAUAUCUGUUGACCAUUUGCAUAUGUUCUUCUGUAAAGUGCUUUUUCAGUUCCUUUGCCCAUUUAUUGAUUAGGUUAUUUGGGUUUUGCUGUUGCUGUUGUUCUUUUGGUGUUAAAUAAUUUGAAUUAUUUGUAUAUUUUGGAGAUUAAUGUUCAAUCUGAGGUGCACAUGGCAAAGACUUUCUCACAUUCUGUAGGCUCUCUGCUCAUAUACUUGAUGGUUUCCUUUGCUGUGAAAAUUUUUUUAGUUUGAUACCAACCCAUUUAUUGAUCCUUUUAAAAAUUAUUUGUAUAUAGACAGCAGUAACUUUAUUUUUUAUGUGGUGCUGAGGAUCAAACCCAAUGCCUCACAUGGAAGGCAAGCACUCUACAACUGAGCUACAGUUUCAGAACCUUGUUGAUUCUUUUAAAAAUAUUUUUAUUUGUAGUUUGACACAGUAUCUUUAUUUAUUCAUAUAUGGUGCUGAGGAUCAAACCCAGAGCUUCACACAUGCUAGGCAAGCACUCUACCACUGAACUAUCAGCCCCCAUUUACUGAUUGUUUAUAUUACUUCUUGCUUUUUGGGAAUUUUGUUGAGGAAAUUGGCUUAUAGUUCCAACUCUAAAAUUACUCUGUAAUGGAUAUUUUAUACAAGUAGAUUUAUACAACAGUAAGUCUUUUUUUAAACCAGUUUCUUUGACUUACAAAACUGUUUUCAGGGAUCCUUAUAGAAUUCUGUUUUAUGACUAUGUCACUUAUCCAGUCAUCAGUUGGUGAACUUUAAAAUGCUUCCACCUCUUGGCUACACUAGUAGUACAUGGCUGGGAACUAAUGUUUGGACAUGUUUUAAUUAUCAUGCCUCUUGGUGUUGUCUUCAUGAAUUGUGCUGAUUGUACCAUAUCUCUGUCAUACUCAUGUUGUGCUUUAUUUAUUGUCUGUUUUUAUUGAUUUUUUCUCUUUUGCUCAGAGCUCACAUAAAAAUAAAUUUUUCUUUUUCAUGCACUUUUUCUGACUUUUCUUUCACCAACAGUAUUUGCAUGGUGAUUACCUUAUUGAGCAAUAAAUUCACUCAAGGUUAGAGUACUAUCUAAUGUUCUCACCUAUUCUAGAAUGAAUGGAAAACAUUACUGACCAAUAUUUUUUAAAAAAAAAUUAUUAUUUGAUAUCAACCAAUAAUUUUUGUUAAUAGAUUGACCUGUCAAGACUUUUAUUCUAUUUCAGUGAUAAAACAUAAAAUUAAAUUAACUUAAUCCAAUAGUGAAUUCAUCUGUAGAAUGUUCAUACUUUUGUUAGUAUUGGAAAAAAACCUUCUAUAUAGAUUUCCCCAACAUUUAUUAUGCCAGAAUUGGAAUUUAUAGAUCUGUAAUCCUUGACCAAGCUAAUAUAUCAUAUUAUAGAAACUUAAUCUACUCAUCAUAAUGCUGGUAUAAAUUAUGUUUUGUUGCAAUUGAAUUUAUGUAAAAUUUGUGGUUCAGAUUGUGUCAAAUAUUUUAAAUAUCUUAUUUUCAUAUUAUGUUAUUUCAUACUUAUUUUAUUCAAUCAGAUGGAUGAUGUCACUACAAAGAUGGACAAUAUAUCUUCAAAACAUUUACAUUUGAAAAUAAAUUAUGACUGUUUUAUGCAGAACUUGUUGUUUUUUUUGGGGGGGGAAGUAUACAAGAUAAAUUUGAAAAAAAGUGAGAAGUCAAAAGAAGUUGGAAGAAAAUGUUAUAUACUUCCCAAGGAACACACAGAGCACUAGAGUAAAAUGAGGCCAAGGAGUAUGGUAGGAAUGUGACAUUGAACAAUGAGCAAGAUGGAAUUUAGAGGACAAGUAAAAAUAAGUACUUCUGGUUUUAUAGGCUAUCUUAUUUAUAUGCAAUGUGUUUUGAUUCAUUUCAUUGUAAACUGUAUUUUGGACAUAUACAUUACAUGUGUAUUCCAUAACUCUUGAGGAAAGUUGUUGUGUAGAUUUCUAAGAGGAAGAAAACAUUUGGUACCCCUUAAAAUACCUCAGUUUACAUCAUUCUUAUAGCUAAUUUGAUCUGAGUAAUGAUUUUCAUCAGAUAACUGUUGGAUACUUGAUAACAGUGGGCAUAAAUAAAACUAUGAGUAGAAAAGAAAAAAAUGUGAUGCAGAAAUAUAACAUACUUUUGAAUUGUUAGGUUAAAUUUUUCAACUUUUAUAUUUUGAAUUGAUUCUAUUAUUCUUUAAAUUGUCAGAUGAUCUGAGAACUAACAUGAGAAUGAUUCAUGACUGACAUCACUGUCCAAUGGUACAUAGCCAUCCUAGCCUGUGCAAGGGCCUGGGUUCCAUUCACAAUAGAAAGGAGGAGGAGGAGGCAGGAGGGAGGAGGGGGAUAGGGAGGAGGAGGAGGGCAGGGAAUGAGGAGCGAAAGGAGGAGAUGAAGAACUCAAUUAUUAGUUCUUAUUUAAUGUAAUUGAUACUGAAGUUUUAAGUCUGGCAUCUUUUUUCUUCACAUUUAAAAUUGCUGUCUGAAUUUUUUACUCAGAACUUAAUGAAAUAAAUACAUAAUAAUUGGGUUCUAAUUUUUUAAAAAAUAUAUUCUUUUUAUUUUCUUUAGGCACAAUCAGUAGCUGUGUAAAUUUCAGAGCUUCAAUAAUAAGUCAGAUGGAACUGAAAAUCAGAAAUCUGGAAUUUGAACUGAAAAUUCUAAUAAAUACAACUGAAAGAGUAUAGGCACUUCUAUACAGAAGAAUCCAAAUUCCAAAAGUAUGUCAAAACAUAGACUGAAAGAGAGCAACUUAGUCUCCUUAAUUUGUUUUAUUGCAUAAAUUUGAGACAGGUUCAUGAGAUCAGUAGCAUGCAAAAGUAACUAGUUAAUAUAAUUUGUGGAAUUAAUGUUAGGAAAGUUUAUCUUUCACCCACCUUUUCAUUUUAUGUCUGGAAGCAAACUAUCAAGCCUUCUUCCACUAGUGUUCUCCUAUAUGUAAUUUGGUCUAUUAGACUUUUAGUUAAGUAUUUUUGAAGUUUUGUAAUUCAGAUAGUUAUAUUGAAACAAAACUGCUUCUACGUGGAAACAUGAACAAUUUUUGAAAGAUUAUAACUUAAACCUUAAGUGUCCAGUGUUGCUAUAAACUACACUCUGAGCACAUUCUAAUUCCUGAUAUAUUAACUGCUUUUUAUUUUAAUCUUUGAUAUUAUCCUUGCAUGUACCUAGAGACAAAAUGUUCUAUAUAGUUUUUCCUCUCUACAUUGUAAUACUUGUGAUGAAGGGAAACAUAAUCACAGGGAUGAAGGGAAGUAUAACUGCAAAGUGGUUAAAAAUAUUCUCAUAGUCAGUGUUGGGGCCUGUAAAUGACAGAAUAAAUGGGCAGGAGUCUCUUGAAGCCCUGGUAACAAAUUCAUGAGCCAACAUUCUUGGCAGCAGCUUUAAUCUAUCUUGAUCACCAAUCCAGCUAUCUUGUUCUGCAACAGUGGUUGUUGCUUUGAAUUGUCUCAGUGCCAAAUGCUUAAUUUACCUAGGUAAUAAGUAGAAUAUGCAUAUAAGGUAGUAAAUGCUUGAAAAAAUCUUCAAGGAAUAUUCUUUAAGUCCUUGAACUGGUUCACAAAAUAUGAAUCUUUCUAGCCUUAGUAAAAUUUUCUAGUUGCAUAUAUUUAAGGAAACCAACAUAAUAAAAUGGCUUUUGUAGUCAACUAAAAUAAUGUAUACAUCAUCUGCUAUAUUUAUCUUUAAAAUGCCAAUAUUUCUAAAGGCUUCCUCAAGAGUCUUCCAAGGAGAGUCUUUCAAGAAGGCAGCAUUGUUACCUGCCACACCAUGCAUCUCUGAUUUCUGUCUGUCUUCCACAUACAUUGCUUUAAUUGCAAGUUUGAAGCCCCCUAGAAAUAUGUACACUGCUUUAGAAAAAUUACGAACCCAUAAUUGCAUGCACUACCUCUGUUCUGAUUCUUUUCAGUGUUGUGCCCACUUACUUAGAAUUUCCACCUACUCUUUUUAAAAACAUAUUUUAUUUAAUUGUAGAUGGACACAAUAUUUUUAUUUUGUUUAUUUAUUUUAUAUCGUGCUGAGGAUUGAACCUAGUGCCUCACACGUGUAGGCAAGUACUCUACCACUGGGCCACAAUCCCUCCACUUACUUUUAUGACAACUUUUUAAAUUAUUAUUUUAUUUGAUGAAAAUUUCAAAAAUGUUUUUAUAUAUAGAUAAAAUUGAGGUUAAUUUUGACAUAAGCAUAAAAUAUAAUGUGCUCUAAUUCAGUGACCAGUACUUCCACUUUAUCUCCCCUGCUUCAUCCCUGUGUUCUCUUUCUUGUGUUCUACUGAUCUCAUACAUAUUUGUAGUUUUUAAAUGUUUUUUUAAUUAUACAUUAUGGAUACACAUGAAGAUGAAAUUCACUGUGGUAUGUUCAUAUGCAUACACAGAAAAAAAUUGAUCAGAUUCAUUCCACUAUUCCAUACUGAGUGUUGUCCCCAACUCCCUGGGUUGGGUUGGGUUAGUUUUAGGGUUAGGGUUAGGGUUGCAUUGUGUAACAGGAGCCCUUCAGUACAACCAGGUGAUUUUCUAUAUACUAAGACUUCAUUUGAUCAAGUCAAAUAUUAUUCCAGCAAUGAUGAGCUAUAUUUUUUAGAGCUGAAAAAAAAAAAAACAAUAUUCAACUAUUUUGAACCCAUUUGAAGAUAUUUCUAUAAUAUUUGAAAAUUUUUUAUUCAAGGGUAAUAUUGCAACAAUGAAAUAUCUGCUUGAAAAAUGAACAAAUUAAAGAUAGCAUCUUGCUUUCAUUGUGUCUCAUUGUUGUUAGAAUACCCAUUUUAAUGCACAUUGCUUUAGAGAUUCCAUGUUAUUUCCUUUUUUUUUUUUUUUUGUAAAAGGGAUUGAACUCAGGGGCACUCAACCAUUGAGCCACAUCCCCAGGCCUAUUUUGUGUUUUAUUUAGAAAUAAAAUACAAAACUCAGAGUCUCACUGAGUUGCUUAGAACCUCACCAUUUCUGAAGCUGGCUUUGAACUCAAGACCCUCCUGUCUCUAUCUCUUAAGCCACUGCAAUUAUAGGAAUGUGUCAUCACACCCUGCUUCCAUGGUCUUUUGAUCAUCUUCUUAGCACACAGUAAAGUCGUGCAUACCUGUGGAAAUGUGGCAUCAGCGUUAUUCUUUUAUGUACCAUUUAACCUAAAAAAAAUCACAGGAUUACAAAUCUAAGCUUUAAAAAACAACACUGAAAUUAAAUAUUGUGACAUAAAUAAUUUUAAUAUAUAAAUUAUAAUGUAAUUUAAUAGCUGAUAUAUAUAUAUAUAUAUAUAUAUAUAUAUAUAUAUAUAUUUUAGUUUCUUUGCUUAUAUGAAUACCUUUCUGAAAAAAUGAGAGAAUCAGUUUUGAAGUGCUUCAGAGUCAUGAAAUUGGAUGACUAUGUACAAAAAGAGCAUGAAAUUUAGUUGUUAUGCAUGAUGCAAGUAUAAGUUGUUCUUAUUAGUUCUUACCAGAAAAAUGAGAUAAUUUACUAUUUACAAAAGAAUGAUACAUUGUGUAUGAAUGUAGACACAAUGCAAAGGGAGAUUUUGGGGGCCAACUCUUUUUCCAUAGUAUUUCUUGGAGAAAGUGAUGUUUCUUUUUUACUUAUUCAUAAGCUAGUUUAUUUAAAAAUUAAUCUAAUAGUUAUACAUUUCCUGUGGAACAUUAAUUUGCUAUAUUAUGCUAGCAUUAAUGAGAGAGUUUAAAAAACACUCUUCUAUCAAGAUACAAAGAUAUGUCUCCUUAAUCACUGCAGAAUUCCACAAAAGAGGAACGGAGAAAAAUACUAGAGAGGAAGAGUGAUAAAUUAUUUUAUGUGCGUCUGUGAAUAUUCCAUAAUCAAUUCCACUAUUAUGUAUAAUUAAAUGCACCAGUAAAAAAUUUGUUUAAAAUAAUUUCCUUGAAAAAUAGAACAGAACAAGAGAAAGACAGGAAUGAAAAUUCUGUCAGUCAAAAUCAUUUCUUUUUCACAUCAAAAGUGUAAAGGAGUUGGAUGUCACCUUAUUGUUAUCACAACAACAUACUUACCAUGUUUAAUAAUCUAUUUUAGACUCUUCGGGGAAAUUAGGAAGAAAACAGCUUUUAUACAAAGAACACUCUACAUGGUGAUAUUUAUAUUAAGAGUUGGAAGUAUUUUCACACAUUUCUCAUACAGUACACAUCCAAAAUGAGCCAAAUGCUUAAAAAAUGCUAGUCGUUAACUUCUGAGAAGAAAUCAAUUACAAUUAAAGAGCUAUGUAUUUUUUUUCCAAGUCUGAAAAUCAAAAUCAAAGACCUUAAGUUUGAAACUGCCCUUUUUUUGCUUCUUUCCCACUAUGAAACUGUCAGCCUAUAGGCUGAAUUUUUUUGUGAGGAAAAAAAAUGGCAUCACCCAUUUUCUGUUGUUUCUGGCCCAAAACCCAUACUGAUCUAGUAACAGUCAUGCAUUUAAAAUACCCUGUCCUGACUCCAUCAUUAGUUUACAUUUUGCCCUCAAGAAAAGUAUGAAAUUUCUUAGCCAAAAAUUAAAAUACUCAAAUCACUUGGAUUUUUGUCAGGUUAUUAAGCCUGUCUCCUCUCACUUGCUUUACUGUCACUUUGCUCUAGAUUCUAGUGACACUGUUCCACUGUGAUUCCACAAGUGUUCUUUCUCAUCUUGGUGUCUGCAUGCACCUCUUACCUCUCUGUCACAAUUUCUCCUUUUCCUUCAGAUGUUAAGUCACAUAUAACUUCCACUAAAGGACCUAAAACACUGAAACAAUUUUGGGACAGAAGUCCCUUCUAAGUGUUCCAGUAGUAUCCUGUUUUAUCCCUGUCAUAAUGCCAAUGACUCUGUAUGGAAAUUGCCUGCUUGCCUGCUUUUCAAGCUAUGGUAUAUGACUGUUGAGGGGUAUGCAUUAUCAUCUCCAUGUUGUCAUUCCAGUACUUGCCAGAAUACCCUAGAAUAUGGUUUUCAAAUUUAUGCAUAAAGGGUGGAAAACCCAAAGCUCUGAUACUUGGUUAUAAUGAUAAUUGGGUAUGAAAAUAUGGGUAUAAUGCUUUUCAAUUUUGUACUGUGGACCUACAUAUCUAUUUUUUCAUUCUUAUAAACAAUGAAAAAAGUUCUCAACUUCUUCACUGAUUCAUAAUUAUAAAAUCUCUGAGGCAAAAAUAUAAUUAUUUUCUCUUCACUUGCUGCAGAAUUUGAAUCCUGACCAUGGGAGCUUCUGCUUUAAAAAUUACUAAUAAGCCAAGACAAGAUGUACUUUUGGAAACAUCAUAAGGAUAUACAAAGAUUUUAAUAAAAAAUAUAUGAAAGCUAAUAUUGUGUUCUUUAGACUGUUAAUAUAAUAUUUAAAUUGUUUAUGAAAUGUAUGAUAUAAAAAAUUAUUGAAAUGGAUGUGUGUAUCAUAUAUAUGAUGAAAUAUUCAAAAUAUUAAAAUUAUUUACAUCUAUAAGAAAAUUUGAAAUGCAAUUGCAAACCCAGUUUUUACUGAGAUGUGUUUUCAAACUCUCUAAAUGCUAGCAUUUAAGCUCAAUUCAACAACCAAAUAGUCAACACUAAUAGAUCUAAAUAUCACAUUAAUGAUGGAUUGUUUGUAUUAUAAAAAUAUAUCACUGAAUAUGGAUCCAGAGAAUUAGGCAACAUUAUUUUGGCAUACUGGUUACUAUUAUAUUCACUAGUGGAUAAAUGUAUUAGAAUUAUUAUUCUGCCAUCAAACAUACAAUCUUUAAUAUUUUAUAAUUUUAAUUUGAGGCACUGACUUAAGAAUUUUUCCUAAUAAGAAACAAUAUUAGCUUAAUGUUUUUUUUUCCAUUUCCUUUGUUUACAUAAUCUUGGGAAAUAAUAGUAAAUUUACAGGUUCUAAUAUAGAGUAAUUUUGUCUGCUGAAGCAUUUUAAAUUUAAUUGCUAACAUAUGCUAUCAUUCAUGAUAUUUUUAGUAUUUUCUACAAGUCAGAACGUGCUAGAUAACGGCAAUACAACCUUCAUUCAUUAUGAAUGAAUUUUUCAAAUAUUAACAAGUAACAGCAUACUUGUUAAUCAUAUCAGUUUCAUUAUAAAGGUUAUUUUGUUAUCUAGCAUGUUCUGACUUGUAGGAAAUAAUAAACAUCAUGAAAUAUGGCAUAUAUUAGUAAUGUACCUUAAAAUGCUUCAGUGGACAAAGCAUUUUAAAAUAAAUUACUAAUAUAUACCAUAUUAGGAGAACCUAUAACUUCACUAAUAUUUUCCAAGAUUUUAUAAAGAGAAAAAGGAAAAAAAAACAUUAUGCAAAUGCUGUUUUUCAAAUCAAUACUCAUACAUUCUAUCAUAAUGCCUUCAACCACUUAAUCCUCAGAUUAUUUUCAUGUUUUUCUAGUAGCCUGAUAUUGUUCUUUAUAAAAAAAAAUUCAUUCAGAGCCAUAAAAUUAUCUUAAUUGUAUUUUAUAGAUGCCUUCAGAUUUAAAUAUUCCUUAGUCUUUUUUUAACUUUCACGACCUUGAACCUUUUCAGGGAGAAAGCUCAUAGAAUGUGCUUAAGAUACAUUCUCUGGUUUCUUUAUGAUUGGAACGAGAUUACAUGAUUUUGGCAAGAGUAUCACAGAAUCAAUUCUGUGAUUUUCUCUUUGAAUCACAUCAUGUGACCUAUAAUAUCGUCAUUACUGCUGAUGUUAAUAUUAGUCAUUAAGGUGUAUUUUCAGGAUUUUACUUUGUAAUUAUUUUUUGUGGGGAAAUAGUUUGAAACUAUAAAUAUCUUUGUUAAUUAUUCACCACAAAAUUUAUUCAUUUAUUAUACCUAUAAAGAUUCAUGGUUUAUUUUAUUGAGUAUGCUGUUACUUGUUAAUAUUUUAAAAAUUUAUUUUUCUUUAAGAAAUGUUGUAUUUUGACAAUCUCAGAUUUAUUGAAGAUUUAAAACAGUAGUGAAAAGAAUUCUGAAGAAAUAUUCCCCAAAUGUUACUAUUUUGUUAACUGGUUUUAUCUCUUCUUUUCCAUUUCUAGAUAAGUAUAGGUACAUAACAGUUUUUAUCUGUGAGCCAUUUGCAAGAUGCACACAAUGUCUUUUUAUUCCUAAAUAUUCACAUUUUCUAAAAAUGAGAAAUUAUCUUCUAUAAAUAUGGUGCAAUGAUCAAAAUAGGGAAACUGUAUUAUGAAUGUUCACUCUACAAAUCUUAUUAAAAAUUUGACGUUAUUUUAACAAUUGUCCUUGGAAAAAAAUAAAUAGAGUUUUGGGAAAUUUGAAUAUCAAUUAUCCACUGUGUCCAGUGGUCUUUUUCUUCUAUUUUUUUUUUUAAUCUGGGAUGGUUCCUGAGUAUCUAUGGGCUAUUCAUGACACCUAUUGAUUUUUGAAUGGUGUAUUUCAGUAGUAGUUCUGUAGAUUUUCCUUCAAUUUAUAAUCAUGAUGAUUUCUCAUGAGUGGAUUCAGGUUAUGUCAUUAGAGGAAGACCAUCAUGCAAACAAUGCCUAGUUCUUACACUAGAGCAUAUUCUGGAAGCACCGGCAAACAUGGUAAAAAAUUAUGAUCAGCCUCUAGUAAUUUUGGACAUAUCCUCUAGGAUCUAGAGUCAACUUCUACUUAAAUGUAAGCACAUAUCUGGGGCUUCAAUCACACAGGCAGAAGAAACUAUGGAGAUAUACAGUGUCACUUGGUUCCAUCUCUGGUUAUUUAUUGACUAAUUAUUUGGUUAAGUAGUAUCUGCCAGGUUGGUCCAUGGUAAACAUAGUAUAUAUUUACCCUUUAUAUUUCAUAAAAAUUUUGUGUGGAGAUACUUUGGGAGUUUAUAAAUAUAUCCUUUGUCCUUAAAAUUUCACCCACUAGAAUUAAUAUUUCAUUUAUGAUUCCUCCUUGUGUCAAAUUAUUACUAUUGUGAUAGCCAAAUGAUGAUUUUUUUUCAUUGAUUCUACAUAACCAAAAAUAGCAAAACCAACCAAAAGUGGGCAAAAAGAAAAAGCUUAUCAUUAUGGUACUCUCACACCCCAGACAGAUGUAGACAGCAACUGAAAUUUCAAGCUGAUUACACAUUUUUUGAUGUGUCCAAUUCAUCCUGGAGUACAUUUGACUUUCUUGCACAACAAAAUGUUUCAAGGACAUCAUUUAUUUUCUUGUUCCAAAGCUAGAAUUAGCUGGAAGCUCUGUUUUCUGUUAGAGGAGAAAUAUCUGACCAGUAUUUGUGGUGGUUUUCAUUAUUACCUUUGGGGUUUUCAUGUUAAGGACAUGUAUCGUAUCUAUAAUAUAAAAAUGUGUAUUUUUUUCUUUUUCAUACUUUUUUAGUUGUCGAUGACCCUUUAUUUUCUUUAUUGAUGCAUGGUGCUGUGAAUAAAACCCAGUGCCUCACUCAUGCGAGGUAAGCCCUCUGACACUGAGGCACAACCCCAGCCCCAAAUGUGUAUAUUUUAUAUUAACAAAAAAACAGGAAGAAGGAUCUUUUGCAUAUAUUCUGAUUUUGUCUGUAUAUAUUCAUAUAUAAAAAGAUGUAUACUGAUAAAUUACAUAUACACAUGUAAAGAAUAUUUAUUACAGAAUUUCUUAGAAAUUGUCUAAGUACUCUUUAAGAAUUCUGUUUUUAUAUCUGUAAAAUAAUGUAGUAUGUAAUCAUUUUUGAAAAUAAGGUGAGAUUUAUAGAAUAUGUAUUAUUUCAAAUACAAAGCAUAUUUAAAGCUCUAUUUUGUUAACACAUCUUAAGUUCAUUUUGUUCUAAUACUUCCAACAACUUGCCAAGUUGCAGAAAGAAGCUGACUGCCACAUUGGCACUCUACCUGGUUACAGAAAUUGUAUUCAUAAUUAAAUUUUAAUUUUCAAUACCAGUUGAUAAGUGCUCAAAAUAUUUGACUCUCAAAUUAACCCGAAUGCUGCUGGUGAAUUGCACAUAGAGUUCGCUGUUCCACCAACCUGUCAAUAUAUUUGGUGAUAUUAAAAUUAUACCAAUGGAAUUUGCAAAAUAUUUCUUCAGAGGAUCAUAUAAUGAAGACUUUAAGCUUUGUGAACCAAAAAUUUUCUGUAGUCAUAGCCUCAAAUCUGCAAUAUAUAAUAACUGAAUGCCUGAUGGCAUUCCAAUAAAACAAUAUUUUCAGGGUAAGGGGGUGAGGCUCAGUGGUAGAGUACUUGCAUAGCAAAUACAAAGCCUGAGGACAAAUCUCAGCAUGGAAAAAGAAAACAACAAUAGAAACACUUUAUUUGUCACACUUUAUUUGCAUAACCACGACCUCACUCCCCACUCCCUCACCAUCUUCACUAUCUAGGUGCUUGACAGGGAAGUGUUCUCUGGGCAGAUCAUGCUUCUGGUGAUGAGAUACUGUCCCAGAAGGGGCUUAAAAGUGAUGAACCAGGGAGAGCAGGGGUUCACCCAGCUGAAUCUAAUCCUCAACCUCAGCAUGGAACUCAUACCCAUCUCAUCAAGUAUUCUGGCCUAGGAGGGAUCUGAGGCCUGUCUGCACACUUGUCAGGCAAGGGAGUCUGGGUUCUUCCUGAGGAGCAUUUGCUCAUUUCAAACUCACUGUUCAGCCUUCUGGGAGCUACAAAUGGCUUUAUCAAACAGUCCAGGUGUGUACUUGCUCACCCCAGUCUCCAAAUAUACCUUCUUACUUGCCCAGAGUGACUGUUGUCCACUAUUAUUAUUUAAUUAAUAAUCCAUGCAGGACAGACCAGGAGUUGCACUUUCCAGGCCAUAAAAAAUGGUGGUGAGAUGUUUUUGACAUCUUUCAGUAUUGCCGUUCUCCCAAAAAGUGAGGAGGUGGAGGCUGGCUCCUCCAACUGGACAAAUGGGCAAACACAGUGCUAUUUCUGCAAGAAGUCUUGUACCUGAAGACCUGACUGGAAGCUGCAAGAAGCACAAAAUAAAACCAGAACUUGUCACAGGACUCUGCACGCGGGUGUUUUGGUAUGUUCAGAGAAUCUCAGAACCUCUGGAGACUUACCUAUAAAACUGGAAGUUAGUGUCCACUCUCUCUCUCCUUAUUUCUCUCAUUUCUGCUGCUAUAUUUCAUGAAAGCAAGGAAGAAAAACAGUUUUUCCUUCUCUGAUUUUUCCAUGACUUUCUACUCCUUUUCCCCUUCAUUUUCUCUAUGGGAACCUGACUGUGUUUAACAAGGUUAGUCCACAUCAUGUGCCCAUAGGGGACCCAACAGCUUCAACAUUUGGAACAAUUUUUGCCAUCAAGAAUAGGAAUGAAUGAGGAGCUAAAUUGGUGCUGACAGUGUAUCCUGAGAUAUCUUUUCCACAUUUGGGGCCUUGGGCUCACCUAAUGGAGGAACCACAAUUGAGAUUAAAAAAAAAAAAAAAAACAUGGGCUCUCUGUGCUUCUGCUUCCUGCUUUCUCUGUUUCUUUAGCUAAGUCACUUCUACCUCUGGACCUAAGGUCAUCAGGUGUGAAGGAAGGGUGUUGGAUUGUGCAUUCAUUGUCUGGGCUGUCAUAAACAAAGGACUACAGACCAGGUGGCUUACACAAAAGAAAUUUAUUAUCUCACUAUUCUGGAAGCCAGAAGUCCCAGACCUAGGGGUCAGCAGUGUUGGUUUCUCCUGAGGCCUCUCACCCUGCUUACAGGUACUCUAAGCAUCUUCCUUGUGUUCACAGAGUUUUCCCUUGCAGUUUACCUAUGUACUAAUAAUUUGGUUUUUUUUUUAACUUUAUUUAUUUAUUUAUUCAUUAUUUAUCUAUUUAUUUAUUUAUUUAUUUAUUUAUGUGUUGCUGAGGAUUGAACUCAGGGUCCUGCACCUGUGAGGCAAGUGCUCUACCACUGAGCAAUAACCCCAGCCCCGUAAUCUUUUCUUAUACUGAUAACUUGUAUUGGGCCAAUUCUGAUGACCUCAUUUUACUUAAAUUAUCUCUUUAAAGACACUGUCUCCAAAUUAUGAGGUAUUGGGGUCAUGACUUUGACAUCUGAAUUUUAAGGGCAUGGAAUUCUGUCAAUAACAGACCAGAUCAGCAUUGCCCAAAGCAUGGGCUGCUGCUACUGGUGAAGAUGACUUCAUGUCAAAAGAGAAAUAGAACUUGGAGAACAAUCCAUUUUUCUGAGUACUUGAAGAAAUAAGUGUUCAGCUUGAUAGUAAUGUGUCUUUAACAUCUUUUUGACACUUACUGGUACAAAUGGAAAGCAGGCUGCAGGCACAGACCCUUAGGUGGUAACCAUAAAUGUAUUGGUUACCUAUUGCUGUGUGACAAAUCACCCUCAAACUCUAAGUCCUAAAAAAUGCACCUUUGAUAUACCACAGUUUCUAGGUUCAGGAACUCGAUAAUGACUUAGGUGGGUGUUUCUGAUUCAUGCUCUCUCCUAAGGUUGCAGUCAUCUGAAGGCUUGACUUGUACUUGUGCAUCCACCUCUAAGGUGGCUCCCAGUUGUGCUGGCAGUUGGCAGGAGCCCUCAGUUCUUUAUCUUCCAGGCCUCUGCCCAGCCUGCCUGAGUAUCUUCACAGUGUGGUGGCUGACUUCCUUCAGAAUGAGCAAUAGGAAAAACCAGAGAGCAAGAUGGUAGUAGCAUUUCUUAUAUUUAGCCUUGGAAGCCACUUUCAUAGAACCCUGUUAGGACUCUGUGGAAUGAGUAGGAUACAGCUGAACUUUAUUCAUUGUAGAAAGAUCUCCACAAAGGCAUAAUUAUCAGGGAUCACUGGGAGCAUCUCAAGACUGGUACACUAGAAAUUUAUAAAUUUUAUCUUCUGCAUUCUUUUGAGUGGCAUGCUGUCUGUGUUAUUGUAUAACCUGCUUUUCUUUACUCAAUAAUAUGUUUUUGAGAUCUACAUUUGUAUAGAUCUGAUUCCUUCAUUAAUUUGUGAGUAUAUGCCAUUUUUCUUUAUCCUUUGCCCUAUUAAUGGUCAUUUAGAUUGUCUCCAACUUUUGUUCUUAUAACAAUGAAAAUCUUUGUACCUGCCCUAGGAUAAAUAAUGAGAAGAGAAAUUGCUGGGUUGUAGAAUGUGUAUAUCUAAUUAUCAAUUGCCCCUUAAAAUAUUCACAUGGAUUUCACAGCUAUCCACAGAGUAGGAAUGUUUCCAUUUCUCUUCGAUAUAACCAACUCUCCCUGUAGCCAGGUAUUUUAAAUUUUGCCAAUCUGAAACAUAAAAAAAAUAUUUUUAUUAUUUUUAUUUGUGGUUAAAAAAACACAUCAAAUUUCCCAAUGUAGUCAUCUUUAAAGUGACCGGUUCAGUAGUGUUAACUAUAUUCACAUUGUUGUGGAACAGAUCUCUAGAACUUCUUCCUCUUGCAAAACUGAAACCCACAUUCAUUCAAUAGCUUUCCAUUUGCCUUCUUCAGUCCCUGGAUGCUACAAUUCUUUUUGUUGUAAAUUUGACUACUUAAGAUACAUAAAGAUGUGUAUAUAGUACAUAUUUGUAUUUUUUGCAUCUGGCUUUAUCUCAGCAUAGUGAACUCUAUGUACAUCUAAAUUGUGGUAUGUGACAGGAUUUCCUCCUUUCCAAGUUUGCAUAAUAAUUCAUUGUAUGUAUAUGCCAUAUUUUCUUUCCUUAUUUGUCUAUAGACAGAAUUUUAUGUUGUUUCCAUACCUCAGCUAUUUUGGAAAAUGUUGCUAUAUACACAGGUGUAUAAUUUUUUUUUUUAAGUUCUUCCAAACAUAUAUCCAGAAAUAGGAUUGAUGGGCAACAUGGCAGUUCUGUUAUUAAUUCUUUGAUGAACCUUUAUGCUGUUUUCAAGUGCACUCACCUUUCUACAUUACUACCCAGGGGACAAAUUUUCCAAUUUCUCCACAUUCUCAUCAACACUUGAUAUUGUUGUGCUAACAGUACCACUCAACAUUUUCAUUAUACCUUACCAAGCACCAGUGGGUUUGGGCAUCUAUACACAAUCCCUUUUGAACAAUGGGAAAUUAUAGUUCUGGGAAGUUAAAUCCCUUGUCCCAGAGUACAGGACUCAUCAGUGAUAGAGCUAAAGUAGAAGUCAGGGUCGUGGCCCACAAAGCUAUAUGCAUCAAUAUGUCACCCUGCCCUCAAAUUUGCAGUGAUUCUUUAAGAAAAGAAAGUAAGGGAGAAAGAGCUGUUCCAUGCUUCUGAAUUCCUGCCUUUUGAACUCCACACGAGUAGAGAACCUGCCAAGCAUUGUUGUUCUUGGACAUGUGGGCUAAAUGGCCUUUGCCUCCACCUGGAAGGAAGCGGCAUCCAACCUAAUACCCCAGAUGGGAAAUGUGUGACCAGAAGAUUAGCUCCAUUGUAUGGGGCUGGAUGCUUUCCACCAGCAUUGUUUAUGGGAUACAUUGUUUUUGCAAAGUUAUUUGCUCCAGUAAAUCUCCAAGCUCUUGAGGCCCCCUUGCCAUGUAGAGAGUAAGAUUUAUGGGUAACAGGGAGUGUGGGCAGGAAAGGUUUACAAAAGAACAGAUCCUCUGGGAGACUUCUGGAGUUCCCUCAAAAAGCAAGAUUGUGGCCCUAUUUUGUUUUAUUUUUGAAACUGGAUGUGCCAACGGGGUGUUGAACUUUUCCUUACCCUUGGUUGUGAGUGUCGAUAUUGUUGUGUUAUUGUCUGUAUUCCACAUCAGCUCACCUCUGCACAUUUCCAUGUGUGUUGCUGCGGUUUUGAGACAUUUCCUUGGUUUUGUUUUCCCUGGUCUUCCUGCCAGAAAUGUCAUGCACCUAACAGCACAUACAUGUACCCAUUUGUUCUGAAUCAACUAGCAGAUGGUUCCUGUAGUGCCCAAAGUAAACACUCCCCAUUCAGAGGCCAUCCAUGAGGCACUGCUCCUGGGGUGGUCUCAGUGCUGUAGUUCUGUGACAGAGAAUGCAUUGUGUCUGGCAUGUCACAGGAUUGUCAGCUGCUAACAUGUGCUGUCUCUUCAUUGUUCUCUCUUUCUAUACACCUACCCAGUCAGAUAGACAGACUGCCCCAUCACUGGGAUUUUCAUACUGUUCUCAAACCUCAAGAAUUAGGCCAGGCUGUCUGAUAGAGAAGGAUGCAGAAAGCAGGAAGAAAUAUCAGGCUUCUUACCUCCUCUGAGCCUCAGUGUUCUUCCCUGCACAAUGGCAUAAUGUCACCCUGGAACCUGAUAUUCAGGUAGUCAAGCAUAUCGAUAGCUAAAGAACUUAGAACAAUGCCUGGUACCUGGAAAACACUUAAUAAAUUGCUCUUGUUGUUUCAUUGGUCUAGACCCUGUGCUAGGGAUGCAGGAAGAUUAAAUGAGAUGUAACCUUGUCUCUAAGAACUCAAGGUCAAGUGAAAGCCACAAUGAACCAUCUAGUAUAUGGGGGGAGGGGUAGAGAAGAGUGCAAAGUGGGCACUUAUACCUGAUGAGGGUAUCAGGGGAGUCCUCUUGCAGAAGGUGAUAUUCAAACUGAGGCUGAAAAAUGACUGCCUUUGCUACUUAGGCAAUACCACCAAAAGCACAUCAGAGCCUUGCUUGACAUCAUUGAUGUCUAUGACUCCCAUAGUCCCUCACUUAUUCACUCAUUCAUUCAUUCAUUCAUUCAAUCAGUCAACUAAGUAUCCAUGAACACCUCCUGGUGACAUGAUACAACUUGAGCAUUAAAAUGAAGCUUGUCAAUCUUUUUGCAGUCACUGAGUCCCCUCCCUGGUCCCAGCUGGCUCCAGGCACAACUGUGACAGUGUCCAUAGGAAGCCAAAAGGAUGGAAGGGAUGGAAUUUCACUGUCUAGCCUGUGACCUUUGCCAACCUGCUCCAUGGCUCUGCCCCUCAUCAGUUCUGUUAACACUGGGAGGUUACCUCGGUUCCCAUUGGAAAAAUGAAAAUAUUGAGGCCCAGAGACAGUUGUGUAUUUCCAUGGUGCCUUCCACUUUGUUUGUCUAGGAAACCUGGAGGAAGGCAGUAUCUGCCAUGGCAGGACCCAUCAUAAGCACGCUCUCCCCACAGCUUGAGUGUGUGGAACUAAGCUACUUCUGGAGGUCUGUGACUCCCCAGUAUACCUCUCAGAAUAAACACUCUGUUAAGAGCAACUAGAACUUGCAUGGAAAUGGUUACUCCAUGACCCAUGUUCCCUUGGUUCAAGAGGUCUUUUCACCAAAAGACUUCAUUGUUUCAGAAUUUCUUCCUCUUUUCUAGUUUCACCAAGAUGGUAUGGGGCUGUGGAAGGGAAUCCAAUGCCUCAAGUUACUGCUCUGUAAACCCUAGCCAGUCCCUGGGGCAGUGACCUCCUUGCCCUCUGUCACUGGCUCAGCAGGCUACAGUUGCAGGGCCUACAGCUGCUGGACUUCUGGACAGUGAUGGUCCACCCAGUCCACUCCUGGCACCUCCCAGUUGACCAGCCCUACCUUUCUGGUGCUAAUUUUCUGCUAGAAAACUUGUUGCCCCACCCAUUUUCCCUUGGUCAUCUCUGGUCACCUUGUAACUUUCAGUCUCAGAGCCACUUCACCCCUCCCACAGCAACUCCUGUUAGUCUCACUACCACAAUCAGUUCCUUUCUGUGUCCCUCUUCAGGACACAUGGACCUUUCUAGAAAUUUCUGGAUGCAAACUCCAAACCCUCAUUCUGCCUAACCAUACUGUAUGCUGAUUAUAUUUUGACAUUGUCCCUAGUCAGAAUUUCACAUAGAAAAUGAUGCCAAAUCUUCUCUGCUUCUCACUUUUCCAUGCCCUCUAUCUGAAAUCUUUUGCUAGGAGUUCUGCCUGGAUGCACAUCUAAAAUCUGACCACUUCCCCACCUGUCUCUCCUUCUUCUUCCAUACUCCAGGCUCCACUGUGCUGGAGAGGGGCUAGCCUUUGAAACUGCCAGAGAGGUGACCCAAGGGAAGAUGCCAGAUGAUCAGAGAACAUAUGGUGGCAGGUAUCAGAAAAUUUUACCAGUUACCCUGCCCAUCGAGGUUCUUGAGAGGAUUAAAUGGCAUUGUGCAUAUAUAUGCUAUCUGUUCAAAUAAGAAUAGACCAGAAGAACAGAUGGCUUGGAUUCACAUCCGACCUUCACCAGCAGGAAGCUGUAUGACUUUUGACAUUUCAUUUAAACUCUCUAAACCUCAGUGUGCUUGGCUGUGAAAUAUGAAUAACAUUAACCCUCACCUCACUGACUCCUGGGUUGAAAUAACAUGUCUGAGUCCCACUCACACAUGUGUUUGGAUGUGAGUGACAAAGUUUGAAUGCCAGUUUUGGAGGGAUAUGUGUUCUUUGGUGCCACCCUGAAUAAAAGUGAGUUUUUGUUCUAGUAAGGAAGAAGGAAAUAGAUGCAGGUUAGGUUCCUAGCAAGUGUCCCUGACCACAGUUGGUACAGUUGUCUCAGCAUAGUGCCUAGUACAGAGUAAGUACUGGAACUAUUAGCUAGUGGCAGUAAUACUGAUCAUGAACUAAGCCACAUGGGAUCUAAAAUUUUGAAUUAGUGUCUACUUGGUGGCAAGGCUAUUAUGAAAGAAAGUCAGUGGAGUCCAUGGGAAUCCCUGUGGGAAUCCCCUUAUUGUUUCUCUGCCAGAUCCCUGUCUACAUCACACACAGUAGGUGCUUAAUAUUCUGUUGAGUUAAUGAAUAAAUAUAUCUCUUAGGUUAAGAUGGGUUUCAGCCUCCCCCAGUACAUUUUUGAAUCUCUGUCCCUAUAACCUUCACUUGACCUCCAAGUGAUUUUUGUCAGGCACUUAUUGGCUGGGUUCUACCCAUCCCAUGGUGUGCAAAAGCAAAACAGCAUAUUGAAUUUCAUUUCCAGCACUUUCUGGCCUAGGCUUUAUGGACCCUGUCCUUCUAUGUGCAAUUUCUGUCCCUUCUCCACCUCCAGCAAGUGCUAAUCCAGCAGCUCAAAGUAAGAGGUGUGAAUUUCUCCUCACUGUGUGGUCAUGUUUCUUAAUCAAUAGCCUGACUUGUCAGCACCAAGUAAUACAACUUUGAUUUGAAGAGAAAGAGGGAGCCAAAGGACAUGGCUGAAAAAGCAAGCAGAGAAAGAAACCUUUCUCCAUACAUUAAUUAGUUCAUUAAGUCAACAAAUACUAGCAAUUCUUUGAGCAAUGAUAGGGUGCAAGGUGCUGCACUAAGUGCUAUAUGCAGAUUUGUUCAUUCAGUCCUCACAAUAUUUCAAGGUGCUGUGAUGAUUCUCAUUUUUACAUGAGAAGAAUUAGAGAACAUCUAGGUUAGUAGCUGUGGAACUCUAUCCUGAGUUAGCUCUGUGCCCAGGGGCCAAAGAUGUAGCAGUGAAUAAGUAAGACAGGUCUUCCUCAUCCUGCCUAGGGGUGGGAUAUGCACAAAAGCCAAACAACUGGGGGCAAGAAACAGGAGAGGAUGGUUAAUGGGUACAGGCUUGCAGGACAGCAACAGUCACUUCUAAUAUUUUAGAACAUGGUGGGGUAACUAUGCUUGACCACAUUCAAUUGCAUAUUUCAAAAUAGCCACCAGAGAGGAAUUGUAAUGCUCCAAGUACAAAGAAAUAAUAAAUGUUUGAGGUGAUGGGUAUGCCAAUUGCCCUGACCUGAUCACCAUGCAUUGUAUACAUGUAUCAAAAUGUCACACUAGACCCCAUAAAUAUGGACCCCAUAAACAUGUGCCAAUUAAAAUUCAUAUACACAUAUUUAUUAAAUGCAUACACCCAUAUGAAAGCAAGCAACAAAAUUCACAAUAAUUUCAAAUAGUAUUUUAGUUAGGCAUGCUUUUGGAGGCAAGUAGAAGAUAACCUGAUUACCAUGGCUCACACCCUAGGCCUUUGAUUUUCUCACUGGAGCAGAAGAUAGGAGGAUGCUGGUACUGGCUAUGUGGCUCUGACAUUUGCAUCCUCCCUGGGGUCCUGCAGUGUUCAAACAUCUCCCCUCCUGUCCUCAUUCCUGUACUUCAGCAGGAGGUAAAGAGGUGGAGACAGUGUCUAUAUCAGGCAGGGCAAGCAGAUUUCUGCAUCUCUUAUGGGCCACUUCUGCCCAGCUGGCCACAAAAAAGAAGAGCAUUUACACUGGAAGUCAUGUCCACUACCAACAGUGCCUGAUACAGAAAGUACCAUGGAAGAAAUUUACAUGGGGUAAUUGGUUAGAGGGAUUCAGUGCAGAAGGUAGUCAGGGAAAGUGACAUUUGAACCUCUGUGACCAGGAGCCAGCCCUGAAAAUACUUGGGACACUUUUCCACAUAGAGAACAUCACAAUGCAAUGAUCUUUGUUUGGAAAUGAUCAUGGGGACAUCUCAGGAUAGAGAGGCCCAGGGUAGUUGCAGCUCAAGACCAAAAGAGAGCAAACAAAAUUAAGGCCAAAAGGGAGACAGAAGCUAGAUGGUGCAGGUCCCACAAGGAGAUUGAAAGUUAUUUGGUUCUAAGUGUAGUGGGAAGGUGAAAACUUUUCAUCAGAGGACUGUCAUGAUCUGAUUCAUGUUUUAAAAAGAAUUACUUGGGCAGAAGAGCUCUUUUGAGAGUGAUGAGGCUUAAUAAGAAGAUCUAAUUCCAGGUUAUGUUAUAGUUUUUCACAGCUCCUUUCUCUUGGUUAAUUUUUUCUUCCUCUUACACACCCCCCUGUGUCCUGCUUAAUUCAGGGCAGCUCCUGAAGAACUGGACUAUUUCCUGCCCAUCUGUCUCUCCAGGGCUUUGUACAGGGCCACACAUUUGGCCAAUGAUUGAUCAACAUGGCUUGAACUGAACUGGACAGAAACGAGUACUUUUCUCCAAGAUCCAUGAGCUGCUGCAUCAACUCACCCUCCACUCACAUAUUUUGGCUAGGUCAGUGGCUCUCAGCUGGGUAAGUUUGCCUCCAAGGCGAUAUUUGGUAAUAUCUGCAAGCAUAUUUGGCUGUCAUAACUAGAGAAAGAGAGUGGGGGAAUGCUACUGGCCUCUAGUAGGUAUUGGCCAGGAACAUUGAAGAACAUUCUACAAUGUGAGGGACACUCCAUGACACAGAAUUCUGUGGCCUCAAGUGCUAAUAGUGCUGAGGCUGAGAAAAUGUGGCUGAUUUACAUGCCUGCUUUUUUAUUUCCCUAGUAUUUUUCUUUAAAUAUUUUACUUUUAAAGUGGAAUUUUAAAAGAUACCAUAAAUUACUCCCCAAAAGUAGAAACUCAUGUCACUCUCUAUAAAUAGAUGAUAAUUGGAAGAUACAUACUCAGAAAACUAAAAUCUAUGGCAUUCUAGCUGGAUAUUGUGAUGAGCUCAAGACUCCAAACCUGAAGCUUGCUUUCUCUUUGUCAAAAAUAGGCUGUGAUCAAGGUCCUAAGGAUUAAGAAAGACUGAGGAACUAUUUGAGUUUAAAUAAAAAAAUAUGUGUAAUCUGAUUCCUAAUUGGUUGUGCAUCCAAAAAAAUAAAAAUAAAAUUAUUGAAAAUGACUUCAUGGGACAACCAGAAUACUUUGACUAUAGAUUGUAUGUUGGAUAAUAUCAUGGUGUCCACAUUACAUUCCUGAAUUUGGUAACCAUAUUGUGGUUAUACAAAGGAAUGUCCCUGGUCUUAGGAAACAAUUGAAAUAUUUAGAACUAAAGAUCCUAAACAUUGGAAUCUCAAUGCUUUUAAAAAAAGUGUGUGUGUGUGUGUGUGUAAUAUGCAUGUGAAUAAACACAUACCUAUACACAUAAAUACAUACAGAAAGAGAGGCAUGCACACAAAAGAGCUUACAAGGUAAAUUGGGCAGAAAUAAUAGCUGUCAAAUCUAGUGUAUAAAAGAUUAUUGUGCUGUUCUUGUAACUCUUUCAUAGCCUCGAACAUUUCCAAAAUAAAAAUUACACAAACAAACAGAAACUCUCUUGAAUUUACUUCUCAUGGCACAAAUCUCAAAAAAAAAAAAAAAAAUUGGAGAACUGGUAGAGCACUUGCCAAGCAUGUGUGAGGUACUGAGUUCAAUCCUAAGCACCACAUAAAAAUUAAAUUAAAAAAUACCUUUUUUAUGGUAUUGUGUCCAUCUACAACUAAAAAAUAAAUAAAAUUUUUUAAAGUUUUAUUAGGAGCUCAGGAGGCCUUCAGAUGUUAAAUGGUUUUUAGUGAAUUGAAUGAUUCAUGUUUUAUUCCCAAAAUUAUUACCAAAAUUAAAAUGUCUCUUAAAUGGAAAAAAAAAUAGUAUCUACCCUGUCAUCAAGUUUAUGUAGAUAAGACAGCCAAGUUAUCUAAGAAUCCAACCAGACUUGUUCUUUUUUUGGGGGGGGUGAGGCAGGGUGUGCUAUGAUUGUGACAUCACAUAUCUGCAGAACUGUCAUUUUGCACAUUCAUGGGAGAAUAUGUUUGGUUGUAUCCUGAGAUUGUGAUGCUCCUAGCAUAUGUUGACUGAUAAUAAAGAGAUACUAGCAAUGAGAGAGAGGUGUUGCAGAUGGACUAUGCCCAAGAAACUUUAUCAUCAGAAAGACUGAAAGCAAAGAGAUAGGAUGCUGAUUUUCCUCACUGCAUUCACUGUGUUCAAUUCACCCAUAGGCCUCUGCUGGCUCAUCAGCUGGCUGUUUCUCUUCAGUCUCAUCAAAGUGCUGUUGUGAGACUCAGUAUCCCCACCUGCAAAAUGGAGAUAAUACAGAGUAAGCUGACUUGGAGUAGGGUCAUCCUGCCCUCUGAAGUCUUUAGUUAUUACUGACAUGAAACUCCAGCCCCACCAGCAUUCCAAGUGCCUGGGGGAAAUUCCAAUGCCUGUGCAAAGAUGUCAUUGAAUUCCUAGGACCUUACAUUCUUAUGAUACCUAGGGCUCAAUUUCCUCCUGUCUUGGCUGAUGUCUUGUUGGUCCUCUGAGUCCUGUGACUUUGUAUGUAAGUCCAUUGUCACAAGAAAUCAGUCCUUUGCUGGGAUUUCCAAUACACACAAAAAGAAGACAUACAAGCUCAAAAAUAUACACACAGAGAUGCACUCUUAUGGAUGGACUAAAACACAUAGAAAUAAAGACACACAUAUGUACACACACACAGAUAUGGACUGCCUCACAGAACCAAAAAAAAAAACAAAAAAACAUAAAAAUAUAGACAUACAUACUUAUAGACACUGACAUAGUUAGACAUAUUCACACACAUACAAAUUGAUAGACACAGAGACCCAUGGACACAGAUACCAAGCUUGUAUGUGCAGCAGACUUUACAAAGGUCUGGGGAUAUGAAAGGAGUUUUUAAUGCAAACAACUUAUACAUGAAUGCUAGGAAUGUUCCUUCAAAGCUCCCUGAACUUCUGUCCCUUUCCACCUUUUAUAUUCCCUGCCCUUCCCCAAUAUUCUCCUCCACUUUUUCCCUUAUCAGAACAAUUUGUUUCUUUUCAACUCCCUAAUUUCAAAGUCUGCUCUGGACUUCUCUUUGCACCUCUCUCUUCUGAUGAUCUAGCUAUGCUGAGAAACACCCUCUGAUUUGGUCUCCUGCCCUCACACCAGGUUUUGCCAGGGAAAAAGAGCAGGAGAGACAUUUAUUUGCCCACUGAUGUGAACUAUGUCACAUGCCCUCACGCAGACCUAACCUAAAAUGCUGGCGUGGAGCUCACUUCUCGAUUUUAUCAUUAUUAACCAAGGGUUUUGUAUUGGUGUUGUUUAAAGUAUUUCCCCCCCCCUACAAAAUCACAGAAGAUUCCUGCAGUCCCUUCACCCAGUUUUCUCUAAUACUGACUCUUAAAAAGAUUAACUAGGCUGGGCACAAGGGUGCAUUCCCGUAAUCCCAGAAACUCAGGGGGGUGAGGCAGGUGGAUUGCAAGCUUGAGGCUAGCCUCAGCGAGUAAGAAAGGCCCUAAGCAACUUAGCAAGUCCUUGUCUCAAUAAAAUAAAUAAAUAAAUAAAUAAAUAAAUAAAUAAAUAAAUAAAUAAAAUGAAAAGGGAUAGGGAUGUCUCUCGGUGGCCAAGCACCCCUGGCUUCAAUCCCCAAUACAAAUACAUAAAAAAAUAACUAUAGUAUAACGAUCAAAAAAAAAAAAAAGACAAAAACCUGGUACAAAACUAUCAACUAAUCUAUAGACUUUAUUUGAAUUUCACCAAUUUUCCUUUAAGGUCUUGUUUCUGUCUGUGUUCUUGUGUUGCAGUUGCAUUUAGUCAUAAAGACUCCUUAGUCUCUUCAAGUCUGUGGCAAUGCCUCAGUCUCUCCUAGUCUUUUAUGACCAUGAUCCUGUUAAAAGAUGCUGGUCAGAUGUUUUGCACAAGAUCUCUCUUCUUGGGUUUGGUGUUUAUUUAUGAUUUGGCCGGGUUAUUGGUUUUGUAGGGAGAUGCCACAGAGGUGAAAGGUCCUUAUGGGAUUAUUUGGUGGGAAAGGGGGAUACAACAACAUGACUGGUUAGGAGUGAUAUUAAUUUCAAUCAUGUGAUGCUUCUUGGAUUUCUUAUUAUAAAUUUACUAUUUCUGCCUUUGUGAUUAAUAAAUAUCUUGGGAAAGAUACCUUGAAAAUAUCUUAUUUCUCUCUCAAUUUUUACUUAUUUAGGGGAUGUGGCUCAGUGGUAGAAUACUGGCGUGUCAUGCAAGAGGCCCUAGAUUAAAUUCCCAUACUAGAGGAAAAAAAAAUUGUUUUGCUCACUUACAUUUUUGGCAUCCAUUCAUAGAUUUUACCCAUAACACUUAUUAUUAUGGUUUCCUAAAGGUUAUUUUAUGUUUAUUUCACUUAUCCUUUCUUUAUUUAUAAACUGUAAUUAAAAAACAACUUUAAAAAACAUCUCUCUCUUUCUCUAUUCUUUUCUUUCUUAUUUUUUUUCUAUUCAUAUGGGCUUAUGGUUAUCUAUUUAAUUCUAUGACUUAUAGUCCAAUACUAUCAUUAUUUAGUUGCUCAAAAUGUUCCAACUUUGGCUGUUGGAAACUCUUUCAGAUUGGUUCCUGUAUCUUUUCAAUAAGUCACUAUCAAAUCAACCAAUUUAUGCUGCAUGCAUUACAUAUAUGUCACAAGAAAUCCUCCUGAUAUAUGUAAUUAUAAUGUACCAUUUUUUUUUAAAUAAGCCCCUAUUCCUUAUUAAGUAUCACUCUAUUUUCUGCCACCACAAGGUGUUCCAGGAUUAUUUUACAUUUUCCCUGCUCCAGUUCUGGGAGCAACCAUUUCUUCAAGAGCUUUGGUCUCUAUUAUUGGAGAAUAGUAUUUAGAAUUCAGAUCUGGGUGGAGAUCUGUCCUGCUCAUUUCUAUGGAACAAGAGUUCUAAGUCCUCUUAGUGUUCAGAAUUUGGAACUAUGUUAUGUCUAUAAAUGCAUGUAUACACAUACAUCUCUUUUUCCUUGUUUUCUUUUUCCUUUCAUUAAAAAGCUUUAGUUUAUAAUGAUACUACUAAUUUCAGUUCAUUACUACAGUGUUCAUCCUAAUGCCAUGUGUUUUUUUUUUUGUUUGUUUGUUUGUUUUUUGUUUCUUGUUUUGUUUUUGUUUUUUUGGUACUCGGGAUUGAACUCAGGGAUAGAAUACCACUGGGCUACCUCUCUAGCCUUUUAUAUUUUAUUUUGGGACAGGGUCUCACUAAAUUUCUGAGAUUGGUCUCAAACUUUCGAUCCUGCUGCCUCAGCUUCCUGAGUAGUUGGAAUCACAGGCCUGCACUACUGCACCCAGCUAGUGUCCUCUUUCCUUACUUGUAACUGUGGAAUUCAUUCUUCCUUUUCUUUUUUAUAUUGAAAGGCUGUUGCUUACAUAUUGCUAAAUUGUGAAAAAUGUUCCUCGAUCAUGCCUCCCCAACUUUUUUCUCCCCUAGAAAUGGCUGACACAAGAAUACAAGAUAGGUUGCUAUAUAUUGCUGUCAGAAGCUACACAAAAGAGAAGCCAGUUGAUUUCAUGGUCCUUCUUCAUGCAAAAAAGCACUAAUCACCCCCUUUAUGCUUUAUCAGUAGUGGGGUACAGGAGGGUCAGUCCAGGCUGUGGAAUGUAAGCUCAUUGUUCCAGCCAAAUGAGUCAGAUGAGAUGGGAAUGAACAUUUAUUUAAGCCAUUGUGUGUCAACAUGGUUCUGAAAAAAAAGGCUUUUUCUCACUCCAUCCCUCUGGGAAAAAUUCCCAAUCUGAGGUCUUCUCACUUUGGUCAUUGGCCUCCCUGGAGGCAACUUGCCUCUUGGGCCACCUCUUUAUCUCUUCAUUGAUUUCUGGUCUCUUCUCCUACCAACAAUGCCAACAUACCUGCUGUUUCCUUUUCUUCCUACAAAUGGGGCUCUCCUUUAUUUUCCACAUGCCCCCUGGGUGUUCAUCUCAGUGUGGGGUCUCAGCAAACACCCCCUCAAAGCUUGGGUCUUCAGAAUCUUUUCAACCAGAAAAGUCAAGAUUCCAUUUUUCUUUAUUUUGUAGCUUAAGCUUUGGUUUCCCUCAAAGGUUUCCUGUUCUGAUUACAUUCGGGGUGUGGGGAAAUGAUCUGUUCUCCUGUCCUUUUAUAAUAGCCCAGACUCAUUCAACAGGCAAUCGCAACUGGAAAUGCUCACCAAAACCCCAAUUUUGCCUACUGUGCUUCAGAUAUGUGAAAGAUGAGGAGGGAAGGGGGACAAGAUUAGAUCACUCUGAGGGCAUUAUUAUUUCCAACUAAAAUCCCCAUUAUUAGAGUUCCUUCUAGUAAGAAAAAAAUAAGCUUUGUGCCGGUAUUAUUCCUUUUAGAGUUAUCAAUGAUUCCAGAAGCCCACAGGCCUGUUUGACUGCCAUCCUGAUCCUCCCAUAGGGAGACAUAGGGGCCACCUCAACAGUGGCCUGGGAUGACCAUAAAUGAAUUGGAAACACCCAUAGUGAGAAGAAUGUGAGUGAAAGUGGGAGGAUAAAGAGAACCUAUGUUUUCUUAGCCAUAUCUAGAAAGCCUGAAUGGAGCUGUCUGGCAGCCACAGACUUCCCAAGGAUGCACUGGACAGAUUCCUGGAGGUACCAGGGAGAUAAUUUAUGAUUGGGAUACCCAACCAUUACAAGACUGUGAAGAACACAUUUUGAGGAUUCUGAGAAUACUAUGCAUUCUAGGAAGGAAUGUUUAGCACAGUCACUUAGACAUGGUUGAAAGUAUGAGUGAUAAUAUUAAUGAUGACAUCUAUGGGAGUAUGCUGAAUAGGGAUAAUAGCAGUGAUGUAAUAAGAAGAUAUGCGUAACAACCAAGAUGGUUGGGAUUUAGUUCAUGUCUCCCUUAUGAACCAGGCAAGGCACUCAAGUUUACAUCUUAAUAAAUUCUCACAACCGUGAGGCAGUUACUCCCAUUAGUCUACUUUACUUCUGACAACUGAGAUUCACAAAGGUGGAAAAUUGUACAGUGGUCACAAAAUUACCAGAAAACAAAGGCAUUUCAUAAAUAUAUCACUGUGUGGUCUUGUUGAAAGGAUCUGUCUUGUUGGUUGUAGGAAUGUGAUUUAGCUGAGUUAAGCAUUCAUGGGGUCAUGGCUGGUGCUAAAGUGUCCCCAAUGCUAGUUACAUGACUCAGAGAAAGGAAACUGAGACCCAACUGCAAUCUAAUCAUGGAGGUGCUCAGUCAGCCAGUAGAGGAAUUGCUGUUGGGGCAGUCAUAGCACCAAGGAUGGGGCCACCCAACCAAGUAUUCAAUAACCUGGCUAGGGUUCAGAAACAAGGUGGUGAGGAUUGAGGGGAGGCAUGCCAGACAGACACAAUAGCAGGAGCCAAAGCACUGCAGUGUGCAGUAAGUAGCAUGGUAUGGGCCUGCAGUGACAGGCAGUUUAAUGCGGUCAGAAUACAUGGUUCAAGGUAAAGGGGGAAACAAGAAAGAAAUCUGGAAGUGAAGCAGGGACCUAACAUGAAUCAGCCAAGGCCUUGGGCCCUAGAUAGAUAAAAGCCUGGAUCUGGAGUCCAAUUUAGCCAUGUGCUAACUAUUUUGAAUCUGGGCCACAUCUUUAGAGGUUUUCUAAGCUUUGUUUUACAUAACUGAAAAGCAUAGUGACAGAUAAUAGUCUCCAUGUGAAGCUGACAGCUUGGGUACCUGGUCUGUGGUCACAGAGUUGAUGGAUGGAUUUGUCAGGAAGCAUAUCUACUUUCUAUUACAUGUGAUGAAUGGAUUUUCCAAGAAGCAUAUCUACUUUCUAUUACAUGUAAAACUUUAUUGAUCAUCAAUUGUUAUAUAUUCUUACUUACUUUUGCAUAUUUCAGGUUAUUUACCCUGUUAGUAGUGUAAUUUUUCUGGCUUUGGGCUUGUCCUCCCAGUCUAGGUAUCCCUCAAGUGUAGACACCAUAUUUUAAUCUACCAUCACAAGAUGUAGCCAUGCAGGAAUCUCAGCCUUGCUGGACCAUUAGAAUUGCUUGGGCAUGCCAGACAGCUGCACAGGUCUGUUCCCCAUCCCAGAUGUAUUAAACUAGGACCUUCAGGACUGUGGCUUGAGCUUUUACUCUUGACCAGCUGGGCAGAAAAUUGUUUGAAUCAAUUAGUAAACAAUCAUACAGUAUGUACAAUUGUCCCUCGAUAUCCUUGAGAGACUGGUUUCAGGACCUCUCCUGGAUUCCCAAAUCCAUGGAUGUUCAACACUUUAUACAAAGUGGAUAUUUGUAUAACCUAUACAUAUUUUUGGUACAUUUUGAAUCACUUCUAAAUUACUUAUAAACAUAGUACAAUGUAAAUUAUAUGAAACUAGUUGUUAUACUGUAUUGUUUAGGAAAUAAUGACAAGAAGAAAUGUCUAUACAUUUUCAGUAUAAAUGCAGUUUUUAAAAUAUUUUAGUUACAUAUGGACACAAUACCUUUAUUUUAUUUGUUUGUUUUAUCUAUUUUUUUAAAAUGUGAGACUGAGGAUCAAACCCAGUUCCUCACAUAUGCUAGGCGAGUGCUCUACCACUGAUCCACCACCCCAUCCCAUAAAUGCAGUUUUUUUAAAAAAAUAUUUUUAUUUUUUGUAGUUGUCAAUGAACAGCAUGCCUUUAUUUUGUUUGUUUAUUUUAUGCAGUGUAAGGGUCAAACCCUGUGCCUCACACAUGCUAGGCAAACACUCUGCCACUGAGCUAUAGCCCCAGGCCUCAAAGCAGUUUUUUUUUUUAAAAAGUUUUUGAUCCUCAACUGGUUGAACUAUGGAUAUAGGAGGCCAGCUGAAUCAGUCAGGAUAGACUACAGUAGGCUAUGAUAGUUAUUAACCCCCAAAUUUCAAUGGCUUAAAAUCAAAAAGGUCUGUGUUUUGCUCACAUUAUAUGACAAUGAUAGUUUGGUUGAGGACUCUUCUUAAUGGAGAAAACACCAUCAUGGGCAUUAUUGUUUGUCCUAUCAGAGAGACAUAUCUCAGGCUCGUCUCUCAGUAGCAUUAAAUGCUCCACCCAGAAAUGUCACAAACUCCUUCCAUGUACACUCUUUGGUCAGGACUAGUCACUUGAGCAGGAAGUGCAAUCCUGCAGGUGCCCAGAAGGUGGAGAGCCAGAAGUCAUUGGUGAGCAGUGCAAAUGACUACUAGACUCUACAAAAUUGACACCAUCAACUUUAUUUCUCAGCAAUACUUAUGAGGUGAGUUCAAAGCCAAAUAGAAAAUAUGGAGUGGAAUUUGAGAUUUUUUUGUUUUCUUGGGUAGGCUCAGGACCCUAUUUUUUUUUUUUGUUUUGCCUUUUUUUUUUUUUAAUUUAAUGAGGCUAGAUGGUAUAUGGCAUUCAACUUGGUGGUUAAAAGCCUGGAAUCUGGAUGGUAUCCAGACCUUCAGCUCUGCCACUUACCAGAUGUGUGAGCUGGGCAAGUAAAGACCAUUAUGUACUUGUUGAUUGAUUGUAUGUCCUCCUCUGAGAAGUGUCUGUUCAGGUCCUUGGCCCAUUUGUUGAUUGGGUUAUUUGUUAUCUUAUUGUCUAAUUUUUUGAGUUCUUUGUAUACUCUGGAUAUUAGGGCUCUAUCUGAAGUGUGAGGAGUAAAAAUUUGUUCCCAUGAUGUAGACUCCCUAUUUACCUCUCUUAUUGUUUCUCUUGCUGAGAAUAAACUUUUUUAGUUUAAGUAAGUCCCAUUUGUUGAUUGGGUUAUUUGUUAUCUUAUUGUCUAAUUUUUUGAGUUCUUUGUAUACUCUGGAUAUUAGGGCUCUAUCUGAAGUGUGAGGAGUAAAAAUUUGUUCCCAUGAUGUAGACUCCCUAUUUACCUCUCUUAUUGUUUCUCUUGCUGAGAAUAAACUUUUUUAGUUUAAGUAAGUCCCAUUUGUUGAUUCUUGUUAAUAACUCUUGUGCUAUGGGUAUCCUAUUAAGGAAUUUUGAGCCCGACCCCACAAUAUGUAGAUCGGAGCCAACUUUUUCUUCUAUCAGGCGCAGAGUCUCUGAUUUGAUAUCCAGCUCCUUGAUCCAUUUUGAGUUAACUUUUGUGCAUGGCAAGAGGAGGGGAUUCAGUUUCAUUUUGUUNACCCAGCUAUUGCCCUUCUCAGACUAUUCCCUGAAGACCUUAAAGGAGCGUACUACAGUGAUACAGCCAUAUCGAUGUUCAUAGCAGCACAAUUCACAAUAGCUAGACUGUGGAACCAACCCAGAUGCCCUUCAAUAGAUGAAUGAAUUAAAAAAAAAUGUGGCAUUUAUACACCAUGGAGUAUUAUGCAGCACUAAAAAAUGACAAAAUCAUGGAAUUUGCAGGGAAAUGGAUGGCACUAGAGCAGAUUAUGCUACGUGAAGCUAGCCAAUCCCUAAAAAACAAAUGCCAAAUGUCUUAUUUGAUAUAAUGAGAGCAACUAAGAACAGAGCAGGGAGGAAGAGCAUCAGGAAAAGACUAACAUUAAACAGAGACCUGAGGUGGGAGGGAAAGGGAGAGAAAAGGGAAAUUGCAUGGAAAUGGAAGGAGACCCUCAUUGUUACACAAAAUUACAUAUAAGAGGUUGUGAGGGGAAUGGGAAAAUAAACAAGGAGAGAAAUGAAUUACAGUAGAUGGGGUAGAGAGAGAAGAUGGGAAGGGAGGGGAGGGGGGAUAGUAGAGGAUAGGAAAGGUAGCAGAAUACAACAGUUACUAAUAUGGCAUUAUGUAAAAAUAUGGAUGUGUAACCGAUGUGAUUCUGCAAUCUGUAUUUGGGGAAAAAAUGGGAAUUCAUAACCCACUUGAAUCUAAUAUAUGAAAUAUGAUAUGUCAAGAGCUUUG
Molecule: long non-coding RNA, 43227 nt
Filed under: Marmota monax (woodchuck)
Lineage: Eukaryota; Metazoa; Chordata; Mammalia; Rodentia; Sciuridae
Source: RNAcentral